GACCAUCUUGACUGAAAUGUGAAGAGGUAAGGAGGUUGAACAUAAAGAUAUACCGAGGUAUGCUUGUUCCCUACUUUACUUCACUGCUAGUAGACUUGAUGUAAUAUUUAGCGCUUGUUAAAUAUGAAUCAUGUCCAAAAGGAGUCGUACUAAUGCGGUUAAAACGGAAAUGAAGUAUAUUAUUAGUAAUUCUGUAUGUGGGACUUUGCUAU
Molecule: long non-coding RNA, 212 nt
Filed under: Nicotiana benthamiana
Lineage: Eukaryota; Viridiplantae; Streptophyta; Magnoliopsida; Solanales; Solanaceae
Description: long non-coding RNA (NBEN_LNC000405)
Source: RNAcentral